This 235-nucleotide long non-coding RNA is filed under the name Hordeum vulgare. RNAcentral describes it as "long non-coding RNA (HVUL_LNC006974)". Lineage: Eukaryota; Viridiplantae; Streptophyta; Magnoliopsida; Poales; Poaceae. The record is from RNAcentral.
ACCGUUUCCUAGCACCUCUCGCUGUCCCACCCUGAACGCUAUUGCUGCUGCAAGUGCUAGCAGCUAGAUGCCAAACCACUGCUCCCGACCAUUGGCUGAGAACAUCAUACUCAAACAUUUAAUCUCACACACUAACACACGUACAACUUAGAUAUUGGAGAGGUAAGAUUUCCAUUUCCUGAAGUCCUGGCUUCUUUGCUAAUUUGUAUAUAUUACUGCUAUAAGUUUGAACCCA